This 138-nucleotide non-coding RNA is filed under the name Gossypium arboreum. Its description in RNAcentral is "Bacterial large subunit ribosomal RNA". It matches the Rfam family "Bacterial large subunit ribosomal RNA", at positions 714 to 852 of the family's 2925-position model. The record is from Rfam by way of RNAcentral. Lineage: Eukaryota; Viridiplantae; Streptophyta; Magnoliopsida; Malvales; Malvaceae.
CCCGAACCUGGGUGAUCUAUCCAUACUAAGAUGAAGCUUGGGUAAAACUAAGUGGAGGUCCAAACCGACUAAUGUUGAAGAAUCAACAGAUGAGUUGUGGUUAGAGGUGAAAUGCCACUAGAACCCAAAGCUAGUUGG